This 638-nucleotide unclassified non-coding RNA is filed under the name uncultured Ascomycota. RNAcentral's name for it is "partial contains 18S rRNA, ITS1, 5.8S rRNA, ITS2, 28S rRNA". The stretch from base 267 to 420 matches the Rfam family "5.8S ribosomal RNA". The record is from RNAcentral. Lineage: Eukaryota; Fungi; Ascomycota.
AUUCUUGGUCAUUUUAGAGGAAGUAAAAGUCGUAACAAGGUUUCCGUAGGUGAACCUGCGGAAGGAUCAUUACUGAUAGAACUAUUUAUUAGUUUCUUCAUACCCCUUUGUUAACUUACCGUGUUGCUUCCACUGGACCGUGUACAAGUCUCCUGAAUCCGUAAUGAUUUAUCAUGAAAGGCUGGGGAGUUGCCCGUGGUAAGACCCUAUAACAAAAAACUUGAUAAAAACCUAAAUGUCUGAUAUUUUCAUUAAAAAUGAAAUAAAACUUUCAACAACGGAUCUCUAGGCUCUUGCAUCGAUGAAGAACGCAGUGAAAUGCGAUAAGUAAUGUGAAUUGCAGAAUCUCGUGAAUCAUCGAAUCUUUGAACGCACAUUGCGCCCUAUGGUAUUCCGUAGGGCAUGCCUGUCUGAGCGUCAGCUCCCCCCCUCUCAAGUUUCUUUUUUUAGAAUCUUGGAUUACUUUGAAGAAGUAGCUCUCCAGCCGCUCUUCAGAAAUUUAUAGGCAGUAUUGGUUGCACCUAAACCAGACGUAAUAAUAAUAAAAUCGUCUUUUUAGGAGUGCCGUACUUGCCCUAACCCACCCUUUUUAUCCUGGGGGACCUCAGAUCAGGUAGGGGAUACCCGCUGAACUUAAG